GGCUUUCUUCGCGCGGGAGCUCGACCCGCGACUGCCGAGGUGACCGUGUUCAUCGACGAGGUACGUGAGGAACUCGGGGUCGAGCCGGUCUGCGAGGUGCUGCAGUUCGCUCCG
This is a non-coding RNA of Streptomyces sp. NBRC 110611, 114 nucleotides long. The record is from Rfam. NCBI's taxonomy places the organism in Bacteria, Bacillati, Actinomycetota, Actinomycetes, Kitasatosporales, Streptomycetaceae.